GGAAACCUCAAUUCAUUGUAUGGAAGUAAUACUAAUUCACUUUUCAUUUAUGAGAUCUAAUGAAGGUGGUGACAGGAUAUUCAUCAGCAAUACAACUUCAUCACUGCGAUGUGGUGUUGAAGGUAGUGGCUCUGUGCUUUUCAGUUCUUAGGCAUUAUCAAGCUGUUCCUCUGGAUUCUCUGAAUCAUCUCCUCUGCUUUCGAUUCUCUUUAGUUCUUCCAAUACCUCGUCCAUGGUUGGUCUCAAUUCACUGUCUUCCUGCAAACAUAGAAAAGCUAAUUCUGCAACACAGGUUGUCAUUCUUUUAACUUCCUC
Molecule: unclassified non-coding RNA, 315 nt
Filed under: Hevea brasiliensis (rubber tree)
Lineage: Eukaryota; Viridiplantae; Streptophyta; Magnoliopsida; Malpighiales; Euphorbiaceae
Source: RNAcentral